RNA transcript from Stegodyphus dumicola, 882 nucleotides. It is a transcript of the gene named centromere protein X-like, with no coding region annotated. The record is from RefSeq and is a predicted model, not a curated record. Lineage: Eukaryota; Metazoa; Arthropoda; Arachnida; Araneae; Eresidae.
CUGCCGAAGUUGGCAUCAGAGCUGACCGCCAGUAAUAAUUGAAUCCUUUAUUUGUGUAUAUGUGUUUAAAUGUCCGAAGCGCUGCACGAGUUUAAUUUCUUGUUAAAAUAUGGCUGAAUCGAACGGUGCAGAAUUUCCUAGGCAAAAAUGUGUGGAGGAAAUUUUGAAAUUGCAUUUUAAGAAUAAAAGUUUUAAAAUUACAAAUGAUGCUGGGAUGCUUGUUGCUGAAAUUAUGAGAGAUUUUAUUAAAGAAAGUGCUGCCAGAGCUGUCAUGCAAGCUAAGAUUCUUUCUGGUGACCACCACCUUUCAUCAAUUGUUGCUAACAAUGUCUCAAACAUAUAACUAUAGCUUCUAUUUCCACUGAUGGAAAUUUGAAAACAUGUGAAGGCAACGGGCAGCAUCCUUUUGUAGUUACUGUAGAGCAUGUGGAGAAAAUACUUCCUCAGAUACUGCUUGAUUUCUAAUCAUUUCCUGACUGGGAAAAAUACAAAGAACUGAAUACAAAGAUGCAUAUAUGAAUUUCAAGGACCACUUUUCUUAACCCCUGCACUUCAACAUCAAACAUGUGUUUGAGUUAGAUAUUUUUGUUUUUUUGAAGUUAGCCAGAUUGCUGGCUAGUUUUAACACACUUGUCUUAUGUAAAAACUGGAUAUAUAUAAAUCAGACUAGGUGGAAAACUCUGACUCACAUUUCCUCCUAUCUUCUGUUAUAAUUUCAUAUUUUAUAUAAUUGUGUAAAAAAAUACUAAAUGCAGGGCAAAUUUAAAAUUGAGUCAAGUUUUCAUUUGUUCUGCUAUAUACAUAUAUAGGUUGAAUUUAAAUGUAUAGUUUCAACAAUUGUAAAUUCAUUGUUUAAAAGAAUUAAAAGAUUUUGUAUUGAAA